GAUGAACGCUGGCGGCAUGCGUAAUACAUGCAAGUCGAACGAGAGGAAGGAAAGCUUGCUUUUCUGAAUCUAGUGGCGAACGGGUGAGUAACACGUAGGUAACCUGCCCAUGUGCCCGGGAUAACUUCUGGAAACGGAUGCUAAAACCGGAUAGGUAGCAGACAAGCAUUUGACUGCUAUUAAAGUGGCUAAGGCCAUGAACAUGGAUGGACCUGCGGUGCAUUAGCUAGUUGGUGAGGUAACGGCCCACCAAGGCGACGAUGCAUAGCCGGCCUGGGAGGGCGGACGUCCACAUUGGGACUGCGACACGUCCCAAGCUCCUACGGGAGGCAGCAGUAGGGAAUUUUCGUCAAAGAGGGGAACCCUGAACGAGCAAUGCCGCGUGGGUGAGGAAGGUCUUCCGAUCGUAAAGCUCUGUUGUAAGAGAAAAACGACAUUCAUAGGGAAUGAUGAGUGAGUGAUGGUAUCUUACCAGAAAGUCACGGCUAACUACGUGCCAGCAGCCGCCGUAA
Molecule: ribosomal RNA, 512 nt
Filed under: uncultured bacterium
Lineage: Bacteria
Description: partial 16S ribosomal RNA
Rfam family: Bacterial small subunit ribosomal RNA
Source: RNAcentral